This 440-nucleotide ribosomal RNA is filed under the name uncultured bacterium. Its description in RNAcentral is "partial 16S ribosomal RNA". It matches the Rfam family "Bacterial small subunit ribosomal RNA", at positions 338 to 795 of the family's 1533-position model. The record is from RNAcentral.
CCUACGGGCGGCAGCAGUGGGGAAUAUUGCACAAUGGGGGAAAGCCUGAUGCAGCGACGCCGCGUGAGUGAAGAAGUAUUUCGGUAUGUAAAGCACUGUCAGCAGGGAAGAAAAUGACGGUAGCUGACCAAGAAGCCCCGGCUAACUACGUGCCAGCAGCCGCGGGAAUACGAAGGGGGCAAGCGUUAUCCGGAUUUACUGGGUGUAGAGGGCGCGUGGACGGCAGGGCGAGUCUGGAGUGAAAGGCGGAGGCUCAACCCCCGGACUGCUCAGGAAACCGGCAGGCUGGAGUGCAGGUGAGGUAAGUAGUAUUCCUUGUGUAGCGGUGAGAUGCGUAGAUAUGAGGAGGAAUACCAGUGGCGAAGGCGGCUGACUGGACGGUAACUGACGUUGAGGCUCGAAAGCGUGGGGAGCAAACAGGAUUAGAUACCCGAGUAGUC